AACGAACGCUGGCGGCAUGCCUAACACAUGCAAGUCGAACGAUCCCUUCGGGGAUAGUGGCGCACGGGUGCGUAACGCGUGGGAACCUGCCCUUAGGUUCGGAAUAACUCAGAGAAAUUUGAGCUAAUACCGGAUAAUGUCUUCGGACCAAAGAUUUAUCGCCUUUGGAUGGGCCCGCGUUGGAUUAGCUAGUUGGUGGGGUAAAGGCCUACCAAGGCGACGAUCCAUAGCUGGUCUGAGAGGAUGAUCAGCCACACUGGGACUGAGACACGGCCCAGACUCCUACGGGAGGCAGCAGUGGGGAAUAUUGGACAAUGGGUGAAAGCCUGAUCCAGCAAUGCCGCGUGAGUGAUGAAGGCCUUAGGGUUGUAAAGCUCUUUUACCCGGGAUGAUAAUGACAGUACCGGGAGAAUAAGCCCCGGCUAACUCCGUG
RNAcentral lists this ribosomal RNA (433 nucleotides) under uncultured bacterium. RNAcentral's name for it is "partial 16S ribosomal RNA". It matches the Rfam family "Bacterial small subunit ribosomal RNA", at positions 29 to 507 of the family's 1533-position model. The record is from RNAcentral.